UUCGCAAUGCCCGAAAGGGUGACGAAGCGACGCCGCGUGAGCGAAGAAGGCCUUAGGGUUGUAAAGCUCUGUCGAGGGUUAUGAAAUGUAAACAGGUUAAUACCCUGUUUAUUUGACAAAAGCCCAAGAGGAAGUCACGGCUAACUCUGUGCCAGCAGCCGCGGUAAUACAGAGGUGGCAAGUGUUGUUCGGUAUUAUUGGGCGUAAAGAGCACGUAGGUGGUUUUAUAAGUCAGGUGUGAAAGCCUUCUGUUCAAAGGAAGAACGGCAUCUGAAACUGUAGAUCUUGAGUAUAGGAGGGGAGAGUGGAACUUCUGGUGGAGCGGUGAAAUGCGUAGAUAUCAGAAGGAACGUCGGCGGCGAAAGCGACUCUCUGGCCUAUUACUGACACUGAGGUGCGAAAGUUAGGGGAGCAAACGGGAUUAGAUACCCCGGUAGUCCUAACCGUAAACGAUGGGCACUAAGUAGAGGGGUUUU
RNAcentral lists this ribosomal RNA (476 nucleotides) under Candidatus Scalindua wagneri. RNAcentral's name for it is "bacterial SSU rRNA". It matches the Rfam family "Bacterial small subunit ribosomal RNA", at positions 365 to 832 of the family's 1533-position model. The record is from RNAcentral. Lineage: Bacteria; Pseudomonadati; Planctomycetota; Candidatus Brocadiia; Candidatus Brocadiales; Candidatus Scalinduaceae.